AGCUCCAAUAGCGUAUAUUAAAGUUGUUGCAGUUAAAAAGCUCGUAGUUGGAUUUCGGAAUGGGUCAGUUGGUCCGCCUCACGGUGUGUUACUGGUUGAUCUGUUCUUCUUCGCAAAGACUGCGUAUUCUCUUCAUUGAGUGUGCGCAGAAUUUACGACGUUUACUUUGAAAAAAUUAGAGUGUUCAAAGCAGGCCUACCGCUUGAAUACAUGAGCAUGGAAUAAUGGAAUAGGACUUUGGUCUUAUUUCGUUGGUUUCUGGAACCGAAGUAAUGAUUAAGAGGGACAGUUGGGGGCAUUCGUAUUUCGUUGUCAGAGGUGAAAUUCUUGGAUUUACGAAAGACGAACAACUGCGAAAGCAUUUGCCAAGAAUGUUUUCA
Molecule: ribosomal RNA, 380 nt
Filed under: marine Metazoa environmental sample
Lineage: Eukaryota; Metazoa
Description: SSU rRNA
Rfam family: Eukaryotic small subunit ribosomal RNA
Source: RNAcentral